This 460-nucleotide ribosomal RNA is filed under the name uncultured bacterium. RNAcentral's name for it is "partial 16S ribosomal RNA". It matches the Rfam family "Bacterial small subunit ribosomal RNA", at positions 338 to 795 of the family's 1533-position model. The record is from RNAcentral.
CCUACGGGAGGCAGCAGUGAGGAAUAUUGGUCAAUGGACGUGAGUCUGAACCAGCCAAGUCGCGUGAGGGAUGACGGCUCUAUGGGUUGUAAACCUCUUUUAUAAAGGAAUAAAACGAGGCACGUGUCCCGUUUUGCAUGUACUUUAUGAAUAAGGAUCGGCUAACUCCGUGCCAGCAGCCGCGGUAAUACGGAGGAUCCGAGCGUUAUCCGGAUUUAUUGGGUUUAAAGGGAGCGUAGGUGGGUUGUUAAGUCAGUUGUGAAAGUUUGCGGCUCAACCGUAAAAUUGCAAUUGAUACUGGCAGUCUUGAGUACAGUUGAGGUAAGCGGAAUUCGUGGUGUAGCGGUGAAAUGCUUAGAUAUCACGAAGAACCCCGAUUGCGAAGGCAGCUUACUAAACUGUGACUGACAUUGAGGCUCGAAAGUGUGGGUAUCAAACAGGAUUAGAUACCCUGGUAGUC